UAAGUAAUAUUAAUGUAAGAGUAAUUUGACUUACAGGGACCGUUGAUGACACACUUGCUGGAACGCCUCAGGUCAAGAAUAAGUGGCCUUUUAGAUGUCCAUCAGAUGGACUUGGACUAUUUUCAAUAUGUUGUCAAUCAAAAAGUGUUUAUUUUAUCAUCAGCCUCCACCAUUUUUGAUGUGCCAAGUGAUAUUUUGGAGACCCUCAUGGAUCUACAACAAAAAAUUAGUGCAGCUCUUUCCCAAGAGGUGACCCCGGUUCUUACGAGGGAAUGUGGUGGUGGACGAGGUCGACCUAAGUUUACCGUUUCCGAGGAAAUGCUGUCCCGGCUCAUUGAGAUGACACCGAAUUGGAUAAUGCCAUUUUGGCCAUCAAAAGAAGACUACCAAAUGCUGGAUAUAGGAUGAUGAAAGGCUGCCUGCAAGCAGAUGGUCAUAGAGUUCAGUGGAACCGCAUAAAAGGAUCCAUGCACAGAGUGGAUGCCCCUGGAAUUUUGGAAAGGAUGACACAGCUGGGGUGUAUCGUCAGGAGGUCAUAUUUUGUUCAAAGUCCAUUGUCCUUAGUCCACAUCGACACGAAUCACAAGCUCAUAAGGUACAACAUCAUCAUAUUCGGUGGGAUAGAUGGGUUCUCACGAAAGAUAAUGUACUUGGAACCAGCAACAAACAACCGUUCAAGCACUGCCUUAUCAUUCUUUCUCCAGUCUGUGCAAAAGCAUGGCUGGCC
Molecule: long non-coding RNA, 727 nt
Organism: Labeo rohita (rohu)
Lineage: Eukaryota; Metazoa; Chordata; Actinopteri; Cypriniformes; Cyprinidae
Exons: 3
Source: RefSeq, a predicted model, not a curated record